UGCAUGAAAAGGCAAACCCGUUUGAAAGAACGGAGACGCAAAGCUACCGGUCUAAGGAGCAAUCUAUGACAGCGGGGCCGCCAAU
RNAcentral lists this non-coding RNA (85 nucleotides) under Methylovorus glucosotrophus. RNAcentral describes it as "Methylovorus glucosetrophus c-di-GMP sequence". It matches the Rfam family "c-di-GMP-I riboswitch aptamer". Rfam says of the family: GEMM was predicted in a large-scale screen for bacterial structured RNA regulatory elements. Genes associated with GEMM are involved in a diverse array of functions, including chemotaxis regulation, signal transduction, secretion and chitin. RNAcentral also lists the same sequence under 1 other name. Lineage: Bacteria; Pseudomonadati; Pseudomonadota; Betaproteobacteria; Nitrosomonadales; Methylophilaceae. The record is from RNAcentral.